AGUGGACGCGAGCAUCUUUGUGGCCAAGUUUUUUAGGGCACACGGUGGAUGCCUUGGCAUCAGGAGCCGAUGAAGGACGUGGGAGGCUGCGUUAAGCCUCGGGGAGUCGCCAACCAGACGUUGAUCCGGGGAUGUCCGAAUGGGGAAACCUAGCACCAGUCAUGUGGUGUUGCCGCCGCCUGAAUGUAUAGGGCGGUUGGUGGUAACGCGGGGAAGUGAAACAUCUCAGUACCCGUAGGAGAAGAAAACAAUUUAGUGAUUCCGUGAGUAGUGGUGAGCGAAAGCGGAGGAGGCUAAACCGUGCGCGUGUGAUAGCCGGCGGGCGUUGCGUGUGCGGGGUUGUGGGACCUUCCGGGGGAGACCGCCGUCUCUUCAGGCAGUGAGAAAUCGGUGGGGUAGUCGAACGCUCUGGGAAGGGCGGCCGUAGACCGUGAGAGCCGGGUAGGCGAAACCUUGUCGACUGUUGGGAGUGUUCCCGAGUAGCACGGGGCCCGAGAAAUCCUGUGUGAAUCUGCCAGGACCACCUGGUAAGCCUAAAUACUUCCUGAUGACCGAUAGUGGACUAGUACCGUGAGGGAAAGGUGAAAAGCGCCCCGGUGAGGGGUCGUGAAAUAGUACCUGAAACCGUGUGCCUACAAGCCGUAGGAGCGUAGACGACUUUCGGGUCGUUUGUGAUGUGACUGCGUGCCUUUUGAAGAAUGAGCCUGCGAGUUAUGGUGUGUGGCGAGGUUAACCCGUGUGGGGGAGCCGUAGGCAAGCUUGCUUGUCUGUGAUGUGACUGCGUGCCUUUUGAAGAAUGAGCCUGCGAGUUAUGGUGUGUGGCGAGGUUAACCCGUGUGGGGGAGCCGUAGCGAAAGCGAGUCUGAAUAGGGCGCUUAUAGUCGCAUGCUGUAGACCCGAAGCGGGGUGAUCUACGCAUGGGCAGGUUGAAGCGCGGGUAAGACCGCGUGGAGGACCGAACCCACCAGGGUUGAAAACCUGGGGGAUGACCUGUGUGUAGGGGUGAAAGGCCAAUCAAACUCCGUGAUAGCUGGUUCUCCCCGAAAUGCAUUUAGGUGCAGCGUUGCGUGGUGCUUGCCGGAGGUAGGGCUCUGGUUGGCUGAUGGGCCCGACAAGGUUACUGACGUCAGCCAAACUUCGAAUGCCGGUAAGUUGAGCGUGGCAGUGAGACUGCGGGGGAUAAGCUCCGUGGUCGAGAGGGAAACAGCCCAGAUCACCGACUAAGGCCCCUAAGCGUGUGCUAAGUGGGAAAGGAUGUGGAGUCGCAGUGACAACCAGGAGGUUGGCUUAGAAGCAGCCACCCUUGAAAGAGUGCGUAAUAGCUCACUGGUCAAGUGAUUCUGCGCCGACAAUGUAGCGGGGCUCAAGUACACCGCCGAAGUCGUGGCACUGCCAGUUUGCUGGUGGUGGGUAGGGGAGCGUCGUGCGAGCCGGUGAAGCCGCCGAGUGAUCGUGUGGUGGAGGUCGUACGAGUGAGAAUGCAGGCAUGAGUAGCGAGUCAGAAGUGAGAAUCUUCUGCGCCGAAUGACCAAGGGUUCCUGGGGCAGGUUCGUCCGCCCAGGGUAAGUCGGGACCUAAGGCGAGGCCGACAGGCGUAGUCGAUGGACAACGGGUUGAUAUUCCCGUACCCGCUGUGAUGCGCCCAUAUCGAAUCCAGUGAUACUAAGGGUCCUUAAGCCGGUUGGCUCUUCGGAGCCGGCGUCAGGGUGAACGCCUGGCCUGAUCUGGUAGUAGGUAAGCGAUGGGGUGACGCAGGAAGGUAGCCCAGCCCGGGCGGUGGUUGUCCCGGGGUAAGCAUGUAGGGAGAGAGAUAGGCAAAUCCGUCUCUCAUGUAUCCUGAGGUGUGAUGCCGAGCCGAUUGUGGCGAAGUGGGUGAUCCUAUGCUGCCGAGAAAAGCCUCUAGUGAGUGUCGCGGCGGCCCGUACCCUAAACCGACUCAGGUGGUCAGGUAGAGAAUACCAAGGCGGUCGGGUGAACUGUGGUUAAGGAACUCGGCAAAUUGCCCCCGUAACUUCGGGAGAAGGGGGACCUUUACUGGUGAUGGAACUUGCUUCUUGAGCUGGUGGGGGUCGCAGUGGCCAGGGGGAAGCGACUGUUUACUAAAAACACAGGUCCGUGCGAAGUCGUAAGACGAUGUAUACGGACUGACGCCUGCCCGGUGCCGGAACGUUAAGGGGACCGCUUAGCCAGCCUUGUGUUGGCGAAGGUGAGAACUUAAGCGCCGGUAAACGGCGGUGGUAACUAUAACCAUCCUAAGGUAGCGAAAUUCCUUGUCGGGUAAGUUCCUUUUGGGGUGCGAAGGUGAGAACUUAAGCGCCGGUAAACGGCGGUGGUAACUAUAACCAUCCUAAGGUAGCGAAAUUCCUUGUCGGGCUCUUCGGGGUGCGAAGGUGAGAACUUAAGCGCCGGUAAACGGCGGUGGUAACUAUAACCAUCCUAAGGUAGCGAAAUUCCUUGUCGGGUCCGACCUGCACGAAUGGCGUAACGACUUCCCCGCUGUCUCAACCACAGGCCCGGUGAAAUUGCAGUACGAGUAAAGAUGCUCGUUUCGCGCAGCAGGACGGAAAGACCCCGGGACCUUCACUACAGCUUGACAUUGGCGUUUGGAGCGUCUUGUGUAGGAUAGGUGGGAGACUGGGAAGCGGUAACGCUAGUUACCGUGGAGUCAUUGGUGAAAUACCACUCUGGUCGUUUUGGACGUCUAACCCGCGCCCGUGAAUCCGGGUGGGGGACAGUGUCUGGUGGGUAGUUUAACUGGGGCGGUUGCCUCCUAAAAGGUAACGGAGGCGCCCAAAGGUUCCCUCAGCCUGGUUGGCAAUCAGGUGUCGAGUGUAAGUGCACAAGGGAGCUUGACUGUGAGACUGACGGGUCGAGCAGGAGCGAAAGCUGGGACUAGUGAUCCGGCAUCGGCGUGUGGAAGCGGUGUCGCUCAACGGCUAAAAGGUACCCCGGGGAUAACAGGCUGAUCUUCCCCAAGAGUCCAUAUCGACGGGAUGGUUUGGCACCUCGAUGUCGGCUCGUCGCAUCCUGGGGCUGGAGUAGGUCCCAAGGGUUGGGCUGUUCGCCCAUUAAAGCGGUACGCGAGCUGGGUUUAGAACGUCGCGAGACAGUUCGGUCCCUAUCCGCUGCGCGCGCAGGAGACUUGCGAGGGGCUGUCCCUAGUACGAGAGGACCGGGACGGACGAACCUCUGGUGUGCCAGUUGUUCCGCCAGGAGCACGGCUGGUUGGCUACGUUCGGUAGGGAUAACCGCUGAAAGCAUCUAAGCGGGAAGCUCGCCUCAAGAUGAGGUCUCCCACCACGAGAGUGGGUAAGGCUCCCUAUAGACGAUGGGGUUGAUAGGCCGGAAGUGGAAGCGUAGUAAUGCGUGGAGCUGACCGGUACUAAUAGGCCGAGGACUUGACCAUAU
This 3408-nucleotide ribosomal RNA is filed under the name Microbispora triticiradicis. Its description in RNAcentral is "bacterial LSU rRNA". It matches the Rfam family "Bacterial large subunit ribosomal RNA". The record is from RNAcentral. Lineage: Bacteria; Bacillati; Actinomycetota; Actinomycetes; Streptosporangiales; Streptosporangiaceae.